AAGGUCAGGCUGUGAUGGGGAGCGAAAAUUACAGUAGCGAAGGUCAUGAUCUCACACUGCCAAGAAAAGCCUCUAGCCAGGAAGCAGGUGCCCGUACCGUAAACCGACACAGGUAGGUGAGAAGAGAAUUCUAAGGCGCGCGGAAGAACUCUCGUUAAGGAACUCGGCAAAAUGACCCCGUAACUUCGGGAGAAGGGGUGCCCCGGUAGUGUGAAUAGCACGAGGGGGCCGCAGUGAAAAGGCCCAAGCGACUGUUUAGCAAAAACACAGGUCUGUGCGAAGCCGCAAGGCGAAGUAUACGGGCUGACGCCUGCCCGGUGCUGGAAGGUUAAGGGGAGUGGUUAGCGCAAGCGAAGCUAUGAACCGAAGCCCCAGUAAACGGCGGCCGUAACUAUAACGGUCCUAAGGUAGCGAAAUUCCUUGUCAGGUAAAUUCUGACCCGCACGAAUGGCGUAACGAUUUGGGCGCUGUCUCAACGAGAGAUCCGGUGAAAUUUUAAUACCUGUGAAGAUGCAGGUUACCCGCGACAAGACGGAAAGACCCCAUGGAGCUUUACUGCAGCUUGAUAUUGAACUGGGGUGCGAUUUGUACAGGAUAGGUGGGAGCCUAGGAAGAGGGAGCGCAAGCUUCCUUGGAGGCGCCGUUGGGAUACCACCCUGAUCGCAUCUGAGUUCUAACCUGGUACCGUGAUCCGGUACGGGGACCGUGUCAGGUGGGCAGUUUGACUGGGGCGGUCGCCUCCUAAAAUGUAACGGAGGCGCCCUAAGGUUCCCUCAGAAUGGUUGGAAAUCAUUCGAAGAGUGCAAAGGCAAAAGGGAGCUUGACUGCGAGACCUACAAGUCGAGCAGGGACGAAAGUCGGGCUUAGUGAUCCGGUGGUACCGCAUGGAAGGGCCAUCGCUCAACGGAUAAAAGCUACCCUGGGGAUAACAGGCUUAUCUCCCCCAAGAGUCCACAUCGACGGGGAGGUUUGGCACCUCGAUGUCGGCUCAUCGCAUCCUGGGGCUGAAGUAGGUCCCAAGGGUUGGGCUGUUCGCCCAUUAAAGCGGUACGCGAGCUGGGUUCAGAACGUCGUGAGACAGUUCGGUCCCUAUCUGUCGUGGGCGUAGGAAAUUUGAGAGGAGCUGUCCUUAGUACGAGAGGACCGGGAUGGACGCACCGCUGGUGUACCAGUUGUUCCGCCAGGAGCAUCGCUGGGUAGCUACGUGCGGAAGGGAUAAGCGCUGAAAGCAUCUAAGCGUGAAGCCCCCCUCAAGAUGAGAUUUCCCAGUAUGUAAGACCCCUUGAAGACGACGAGGUAGAUAGGUUGGAGGUGGAAGUG
RNAcentral lists this ribosomal RNA (1320 nucleotides) under Paenibacillus hunanensis. RNAcentral's name for it is "partial 23S ribosomal RNA". It matches the Rfam family "Bacterial large subunit ribosomal RNA", at positions 1552 to 2875 of the family's 2925-position model. Lineage: Bacteria; Bacillati; Bacillota; Bacilli; Caryophanales; Paenibacillaceae. The record is from RNAcentral.